Pelobates cultripes (western spadefoot toad) is the source of this 298-nucleotide non-coding RNA. Lineage: Eukaryota; Metazoa; Chordata; Amphibia; Anura; Pelobatidae. The record is from the annotation of a GenBank genome assembly.
CACGAAUCAGACCAGGGGUUCAAAAGUUAAAGGAAAGUCCUUUGUGACUAAAUGAAGCAUGGCUUUCUGGCCCAAACCAGUUUCAGAGUCUUCUAUCCUGGAGAGUAAUUCAAUAAUCUCCCAGGACAGACACAAGACUCCAUUAAGCACAUGGUUGCAAAAAGACACAAAACACUUUAAAAUACAUAAAGUCACCUUUUACACAUAAGACACAGACAUUUCACAUAUCCCCAGAUAGCUGGGAUCUGAGCGCACAAAACUACCGAAUAGCGCUCAGAUACUAUUCACACAGUUCAAC